GACGAACGCUGGCGGCGUGCUUAACACAUGCAAGUCGAACGGUGAAGGGACUGGUUUUGCUGGUCCUGGAUGAGUGGCGAACGGGUGAGUAACACGUGAGUAACCUGCCCCCUUCUUCUGGAUAACCGCAUGAAAGUGUGGCUAAUACGGGAUAUUCUGGGUCUGUCGCAUGGUGGGCCUGGGAAAGAUUGCGCCUUUUUUGGUGUUUUUGGUGGGGGAUGGGCUCGCGGCCUAUCAGCUUGUUGGUGGGGUGAUGGCCUACCAAGGCGGUGACGGGUAGCCGGCCUGAGAGGGUGGACGGUCACUGGGACUGAGACACGGCCCAGACUCCUACGGGAGGCAGCAGUGGGGAAUAUUGCACAAUGGGCGCAAGCCUGAUGCAGCGACGCCGCGUGAGGGAUGGAGGCCUUCGGGUUGUGAACCUCUUUCGCCAGUGAAGCAGGCCUGCCUCUUUUUGUGGGUGGGUUGACGGUAGCUGGAUAAGAAGCGCCGGCUAACUACGUG
RNAcentral lists this ribosomal RNA (504 nucleotides) under uncultured bacterium. Its description in RNAcentral is "partial 16S ribosomal RNA". It matches the Rfam family "Bacterial small subunit ribosomal RNA", at positions 28 to 507 of the family's 1533-position model. The record is from RNAcentral.